Molecule: ribosomal RNA, 440 nt
Filed under: uncultured bacterium
Lineage: Bacteria
Description: partial 16S ribosomal RNA
Rfam family: Bacterial small subunit ribosomal RNA
Source: RNAcentral
CCUACGGGUGGCAGCAGUGGGGAAUAUUGCACAAUGGGGGGAACCCUGAUGCAGCAACGCCGCGUGGGUGAAGAAGUACUUCGGUAUGUAAAGCCCUGUUAGCAGGGAAGAAAAUGCCGGUACCUGACCAAGAAGCACCGGCUAACUACGUGCCAGCAGCCGCGGUAAUACGUAGGGGGCAAGCGUUAUCCGGAUUUACUGGGUGUAAAGGGAGCGUAGACGGCAAGGCAAGUCUGGGGUGAAAGCCCGGGGCCCAACCACGGGACUGCUUUGGAAACUGUGUUGCUGGAGUGCAGGAGGGGUAAGCGGAAUUCCUAGUGUAGCGGUGAAAUGCGUAGAUAUUAGGAGGAACACCGAUGGCGAAGGCAGCUUACUGGACUGUAACUGACGUUGAGGCACGAAGGCGUGGGGAGCAAACAGGAUUAGAUACCCGUGUAGUC